This 437-nucleotide small RNA is filed under the name Pan troglodytes (chimpanzee). RNAcentral's name for it is "retained intron". Lineage: Eukaryota; Metazoa; Chordata; Mammalia; Primates; Hominidae. The record is from RNAcentral.
CUCAUCCUCAUCUCCUAGCAUGUCUGGCAAUUUUGAUUUCUGAACUCUGUGCUACCUCAGAGGCCAGCUUCCUUAGGGAAAAAUCAGUGCUGAAAUAGUUAUAUUUCCUUUUCUGCUCUAAAUAUAUAGUGGGGGAAUAAGAGAAAUGAAGAGGAAUUCCUGAGAACGUAAUUACUAGAAACUCCCCUCUCCCACGUAAUGCCUCUCACACACCAUGGACACCUAUUCCCCCAAUUUGCGACCCCCCACCCCACCCCACAACAGGUGGUGAUCUUUGUGAAGUCUGUGCAGCGGUGCAUUGCCUUGGCCCAGCUACUAGUGGAGCAGAACUUCCCAGCCAUUGCCAUCCACCGUGGGAUGCCGCAGGAGGAGAGUUUAAAGAUUUUCAACGACGAAUUCUUGUGGCUACCAACCUAUUUGGCCGAGGCAUGGACAUC